Molecule: ribosomal RNA, 304 nt
Filed under: uncultured bacterium
Lineage: Bacteria
Description: partial 16S ribosomal RNA
Rfam family: Bacterial small subunit ribosomal RNA
Source: RNAcentral
CAGCAGCAGCCGCGGGAAUACAGAGGGUGCGAGCGUUAAUCGGAUUUACUGGGCGUAAAGCGUGCGUAGGCGGCUUCUUAAGUCGGAUGUGAAAUCCCUGAGCUUAACUUAGGAAUUGCAUUCGAUACUGGGAAGCUAGAGUAUGGGAGAGGAUGGUAGAAUUCCAGGUGUAGCGGUGAAAUGCGUAGAGAUCUGGAGGAAUACCGAUGGCGAAGGCAGCCAUCUGGCCUAAUACUGACGCUGAGGUACGAAAGCAUGGGGAGCAAACAGGAUUAGAUACCCCGGUAGUCCCUGUCUCUUAUAC